RNAcentral lists this ribosomal RNA (468 nucleotides) under uncultured bacterium. RNAcentral describes it as "partial 16S ribosomal RNA". It matches the Rfam family "Bacterial small subunit ribosomal RNA", at positions 28 to 507 of the family's 1533-position model. The record is from RNAcentral.
GACGAACGCUGGCGGCGUGCUUAACACAUGCAAGUCGAACGGAAAGGCCCUGCUUUUGUGGGGUGCUCGAGUGGCGAACGGGUGAGUAACACGUGAGUAACCUGCCCUUGACUUUGGGAUAACUUCAGGAAACUGGGGCUAAUACCAGAUAGGAGCUCCUGCUGCAUGGUGGGGGUUGGAAAGUUUCGGCGGUUGGGGAUGGACUCGCGGCUUAUCAGCUUGUUGGUGGGGUAGUGGCUUACCCAGGCUUUGACGGGUAGCCGGCCUGGGAGGGUGACCGGCCACAUUGGGACUGAGGUACGGCCCAGACUCGUACGGGAGGCAGCAGUGGGGAAUAUUGCACAAGGGGCGGAAGCCUGAUGCAGCAACGCCGCGGGCGGGAUGACGGCCUUCGGGUUGUAAACCGCUUUCGCCUGUGACGAAGCGUGAGUGACGGUAAUGGGUAAAGAAGCACCGGCUAACUACGUG